UACCAGCUCUCCGAGUGGUGUGGAUGUUUAUUGGGCCUAAAGCAUCCGUAGCUGGCUGGACAAGUCCCCUGUUAAAUCCACCGAUUUAAUCGUUGGUGUGCGGGGGAUACUGUUCGGCUAGGGGACGGGAGAGGCCGACGGUAUUUCCGGGGUAGGGGUGAAAUCCUAUAAUCCCGGGAAGACCACCAGUGGCGAAGGCUGUCGGCUAGAACGCGCCCGACGGUGAGGGAUGAAAGCUGGGGGAGCGAACCGGAUUAGAUACCCGGGUAGUCCCAGCUGUAAACGAUGCAGGCUAGGUGUUUGGGCGGCCACGUGCCGCUCUGGUGCCGCAAGGAAGCUGUUAAGCCUGCCGCCUGGGGAGCACGGCCGCAAGGCUGAAACUUAAAGGAUUGGCGGGGAGCACCACAAGGGGUGAAGCUUGCGGUUU
RNAcentral lists this ribosomal RNA (427 nucleotides) under uncultured archaeon. RNAcentral's name for it is "bacterial SSU rRNA". It matches the Rfam family "Archaeal small subunit ribosomal RNA", at positions 474 to 903 of the family's 1478-position model. The record is from RNAcentral.